Molecule: ribosomal RNA, 492 nt
Filed under: uncultured bacterium
Lineage: Bacteria
Description: partial 16S ribosomal RNA
Rfam family: Bacterial small subunit ribosomal RNA
Source: RNAcentral
AGUGAACGCUGGCGGUAGGCCUAACACAUGCAAGUCGAACGGCAGCACAGUAAGAGCUUGCUCUUACGGGUGGCGAGUGGCGGACGGGUGAGGAAUACAUCGGAAUCUACUUUUUCGUGGGGGAUAACGUAGGGAAACUUACGCUAAUACCGCAUACGACCUACGGGUGAAAGCAGGGGAUCUUCGGACCUUGCGCGAUUGAAUGAGCCGCUGUCGGAUUAGCUAGUUGGCGGGGUAAAGGCCCACCAAGGCGACGAUCCGUAGCUGGUCUGAGAGGAUGAUCAGCCACACUGGAACUGAGACACGGUCCAGACUCCUACGGGAGGCAGCAGUGGGGAAUAUUGGACAAUGGGCGCAAGCCUGAUCCAGCCAUACCGCGUGGGUGAAGAAGGCCUUCGGGCUGUAAAGCCCUUUUGUUGGGAAAGAAAAGCAGCAGGUUAAUACCCCGCUGUUCUGACGGUACCCAAAGAAUAAGCACCGGCUAACUUCGUG